This 497-nucleotide ribosomal RNA is filed under the name uncultured bacterium. RNAcentral's name for it is "partial 16S ribosomal RNA". It matches the Rfam family "Bacterial small subunit ribosomal RNA", at positions 28 to 507 of the family's 1533-position model. The record is from RNAcentral.
GAUGAACGCUGGCGGCGUGCCUAAUACAUGCCAGUCGAGCGAACGGACGAGAAGCUUGCUUCUCUGAUGUUAGCGGCGGACGGGUGAGUAACACGUGGAUAACCUACCUAUAAGACUGGGAUAACUUCGGGAAACCGGAGCUAAUACCGGAUGAUAUUUUGAACCGCAUGGUUCAAAAGUGAAAGACGGUCUUGCUGUCACUUAUAGAUGGAUCCGCGCUGCAUUAGCUAGUUGGUAAGGUAACGGCUUACCAAGGCAACGAUGCAUAGCCGACCUGAGAGGGUGAUCGGCCACACUGGAACUGAGACACGGUCCAGACUCCUACAGGAGGCAGCAGUAGGGAAUCUUCCGCAAUGGGCGAAAGCCUGACGGAGCAACGCCGCGUGAGUGAUGAAGGUCUUCGGAUCGUAAAACUCUGUUAUUAGGGAAGAACAUAUGUGUAAGUAACUGUGCACAUCUUGACGGUACCUAAUCAGAAAGCCACGGCUAACUACGUG